This 651-nucleotide long non-coding RNA is filed under the name Pogona vitticeps (central bearded dragon). RNAcentral's name for it is "lncRNA (ENSPVIG00000001509.1)". Lineage: Eukaryota; Metazoa; Chordata; Lepidosauria; Squamata; Agamidae. The record is from RNAcentral.
UGUGUCAUGCUACACCCCUGGCAACCAUCUAGACAACAAACCUCCUAAAGCCUCAGCAGCCUUCUGUCUUCAUCAGGAGUCAAAGAACGGAAGCUGAUUGAGGUUCUUGCUGGUGCCAAUCUACCACAAAAAAAUUCUCCUUCUUCUUACUAGGGAUUGGUUUAACAAAGGAAAAAAAGGGUGGAGGAAACUAUUCAGAGCAUUAAAAACCAGGAGGUGGCUUUAAAACACACACACAUACAAAAACAUUUCAUGACAGAUAGCUGCAUACUGUUCUGGUGAGUAUUAUUAAAUUAAAUCAGCAAUCCAAUUGAAAAGAAUCAUGGCCUAAUAUCAGGACAAAGGAACAAAAGGGCAGCAAAACAAGUGGAGAAUGGUGACCUGGGCAGGAUUUCAAGAAAGAAGCUCAAAUUCCUCAGCAUCAAAAUGAACAGGAGGCAUCAUGAUAUGGAGGAAGCAAUAGACAUUUUUCACCCAAACAGAAUGAAGUAUGAGGCAGAGUGUUAGAUACCAAGAUUAAGUCUGUUACUCAAGUUCUGUUUUUAGGGUCUGGGGUAAACAUGAGAUAAGGCUUCUGGACAUAUGAACCCAACUGAACUAAAGAUAUAUGCCCUGAGGAAUGGACUACAGACCUAUGGGAAUGGAAUAGCC